GUUAGCUGCAGAAGAAGCACCGGCUAACUCCGUGCCAGCAGCCGCGGUAAUACGGAGGGUGCGAGCGUUAAUCGGAAUUACUGGGCGUAAAGCGCAUGCAGGUGGUUUGUUAAGUCAGAUGUGAAAGCCCGGGGCUCAACCUCGGAAUUGCAUUUGAAACUGGCAGACUAGAGUACUGUAGAGGGGGUAGAAUUUCAGGUGUAGCGGUGAAAUGCGUAGAGAUCUGAAGGAAUACCGGUGGCGAAGGCGGCCCCCUGGACAGAUACUGACACUCAGAUGCGAAAGCGUGGGGAGCAAACAGGAUUAGAUACCCUGGUGG
This 319-nucleotide ribosomal RNA is filed under the name uncultured bacterium. RNAcentral's name for it is "bacterial SSU rRNA". It matches the Rfam family "Bacterial small subunit ribosomal RNA", at positions 474 to 793 of the family's 1533-position model. The record is from RNAcentral.